This 314-nucleotide unclassified non-coding RNA is filed under the name Hevea brasiliensis (rubber tree). The record is from RNAcentral. Lineage: Eukaryota; Viridiplantae; Streptophyta; Magnoliopsida; Malpighiales; Euphorbiaceae.
CCAUGUAGGUUACUUUGCCGUUCUGCUUCUCUUUUUAUUAUUAGGGGUUUGGCUGUUUUGGCUUUAGAUGUUGUGGUAAUGAUGAUGCUGGUGCAUUGAGAUUGUAACGGAGGAGAACGUGGAGGAGGAGGAGAGGCNACAAUGCAGGGCCUGACGCACUGGAAGGAGGCAACAGUAGUAAGAGAUGAAUGGAGAAGGGUUUGUGAUUGAGAGCUCAACACCCAUAAACCAGGAAAAGGGCCUCUGGGAAGUAGCAGUGACAGUGAGGACAAUGAAUGACUAGAGAGAGACACAAAUUAGCUUUGAGAAUUGAG